CUUCCACAAUUAGGGUUUUUUUUUAAUUUUAUUUCGAUACAAAUAUGGAAAGCUUACCUGAAUUAUGAACUAUUUUGAAUUGACAGUGCAACCAUCCCCAAUUUUGAUUUUACUAUUCAAUAUUCAAUUUGUUUAAUUUGAGUUAGUAACGAUAUUUUAGUAUACUUCACGCAGUUUUCGUAACUAUAAAUUCAUUAAAUUAGGCAAGUAAUUUAUAUUUUGAAGUCAAAAUGAUGUUGAUUGACUCGAAUCAAAAAAAUUAAAAUAUUAAAUAGUAAAUUAAAAUUUUAAAAAAUUUAGUAGUCAAUUCAAAAUGAUCCAUUGAUUAGAUAAGUUCUACAUAUUGUUACUCCUUUUUUUUUUUCAAAUCUCAUUCUUUAGAUUGCCUACCGUUUCUACCAUUCACAUCGAUGGUCUUAGAAUUCAGGAGCCUUCAUCCUGCAGCUUCUCUAGCCAUGUCCUAUUACUAUAUAUAUAUAUAGAGAGAGAGAGAGAGAGAGAGCAUGAAUUAUAUACUUUUAUGAGUGCGAAGUUCUUCAUACUUAUAAGUUAUUUUUAUUGAUAGAGCUUCAAAAUUGACGAUUCAUACUAUUAAACAUGAUAUAGAGUAUUUGAAACUUUUAAAAAAUAAAUUUUCUAAUUUUUAAAAAUUAUAAUAAAGUAGGCAAAAAAUAAUCAAUUAAAAUCGAAUAACCUCCUGAAAAUAGAAAAAUUGGAUUCUUUAAUUUAAUUUCGGAGCUAUUGAUCUCUAUCUAGAUAGUGAACGAAAUUUUCUAUCAAAAAUACAAUCGAUUCUAAUUCUUUUGUACCAUUAAACUCACAAGCAUUCCAUAUGGACCGUUAAAAAUUAUCAAUUUUGAAAUUUUUUAAUCAUAAGGUAAAUGAUAUCAAAAAAAUAUAAAAUUUAAUUUCUAAAAAAGUCAAAUACUCCUAAUCAUAUUUAACAUUAUUGAACGUCAAUACGAAAUUUCUAUCAUCGAAAAUAUCUUUUAAGUAUGAAAUUGAUAAUACUCAUAAAAGUACAAGAACAGAACUAUAUAUAUAUAUAUAUAUAUAUAUAAUUAGGCUGGAACACUAUUAAUAGUAAAACACUCUUUUUGCUAUCAAGUUUUUAACCCUUGGAUGAAAAAUUGUAGGGUCAGGAUGAUAUUAGUCAGUUAGAGUUGAGUGGUCCCCCUAGGGUUGAGUGGUCCCCACUGGGUUAUAGUAUUUAAUACAAUGGUUAGAAAUAAUUAAAAGAGUUGAUCCAAAGGUUAAAAAACUGGUAGCAACAAUGGGAUUUUGCUACUAAUAGUAACCCAGUUCAACUCUAUAUAUAUAUAUAUAUAUAUAUAUAUAU
Molecule: long non-coding RNA, 1339 nt
Filed under: Ananas comosus (pineapple)
Lineage: Eukaryota; Viridiplantae; Streptophyta; Magnoliopsida; Poales; Bromeliaceae
Description: long non-coding RNA (ACOM_LNC001649)
Source: RNAcentral